GGAGAGCGCCUGCCUUGCACGCAGGAGGUCAGCGGUUCGAUCCCGCUAAGCUCCACCA
This 58-nucleotide transfer RNA is filed under the name Pseudomonas syringae pv. japonica str. M301072. RNAcentral's name for it is "tRNA-OTHER". It matches the Rfam family "tRNA", at positions 17 to 71 of the family's 71-position model. Rfam says of the family: Transfer RNA (tRNA) molecules are approximately 80 nucleotides in length. Their secondary structure includes four short double-helical elements and three loops (D, anti-codon, and T loops). Further hydrogen bonds mediate the characteristic L-shaped molecular structure. tRNAs have two regions of fundamental functional importance: the anti-codon, which is responsible for specific mRNA codon recognition, and the 3' end, to which the tRNAs corresponding amino acid is attached (by aminoacyl-tRNA synthetases). tRNAs cope with the degeneracy of the genetic code in two manners: having more than one tRNA (with a specific anti-codon) for a particular amino acid; and 'wobble' base-pairing, i.e. permitting non-standard base-pairing at the 3rd anti-codon position. The record is from RNAcentral. Lineage: Bacteria; Pseudomonadati; Pseudomonadota; Gammaproteobacteria; Pseudomonadales; Pseudomonadaceae.